GCAUGGGGAGUGGCGGACGGGUGAGUAACGCGUGGGAACCUGCCCAAUGGUCUGGAAUAACCGCGGGAAACUGCGGCUAAUACCGGAUAAGCCCGAUAGGGGAAAGAUUUAUCGCCGAUGGAGGGGCCCGCGUCCGAUUAGGUAGUUGGUGGGGUAAUGGCCUACCAAGCCUACGAUCGGUAGAUGGUCUGAGAGGAUGAUCAGCCACACUGGGACUGAGAUACGGCCCAGACUCCUACGGGAGGCAGCAGUGGGGAAUAUUGGACAAUGGGGGCAACCCUGAUCCAGCAAUGCCGCGUGAGUGAUGAAGGCCUCAGGGUUGUAAAGCUCUUUUGCCAGGGAUGAUGAUGACAGUACCUGGAGAAUAAGCCCCGGCUAACUUCGUGCCAGCAGCCGCGGUAAUACGAAGGGGGCAAGCGUUGUUCGGAAUUACUGGGCGUAAAGGGCGGGUUGGCGGCCGAUCAAGUCAGAUGUGAAAGUCCUGGGCUUAACCUGGGGACUGCAUUUGAUACUGAUUGGCAGGAAUGCAGGAGAGGAUAGAGGAAUUCCCAGUGUAGAGGUGAAAUUAGUAGAUAUUGGGAAGAACACCGGUGGCGAAGGCGCAUAUAUGGACUUUGAUUGACGCUGAGGCGCGAAAGCGUGGGGAGCAAACAGGAUAAGAUACCCUGGUAGUCCACGCAGUAAACGAUGAAUGAUAGACGCUGGGGAGCACGCUAUUCGGUGUCGCAGCUAACGCAUUAAGCAUUCCGCCUGGGGAGU
This 759-nucleotide ribosomal RNA is filed under the name uncultured bacterium. RNAcentral's name for it is "bacterial SSU rRNA". It matches the Rfam family "Bacterial small subunit ribosomal RNA", at positions 86 to 881 of the family's 1533-position model. The record is from RNAcentral.